This 468-nucleotide ribosomal RNA is filed under the name uncultured bacterium. RNAcentral describes it as "partial 16S ribosomal RNA". It matches the Rfam family "Bacterial small subunit ribosomal RNA", at positions 28 to 507 of the family's 1533-position model. The record is from RNAcentral.
GAUGAACGCUGGCGGCGUGCUUAACACAUGCAAGUCGAACGGAAAGGCCCAAGCUUUCUUCGGUACUCGAGUGGCGAACGGGUGUGUAUCACGUGUGUGUUCUGCCCUGCACUUCGGGAUAGGCCUAGGAAACUGGGUCUAUUACCGGAUAUGACCACUUCUUGGAUGUUGUGUUUGAAAGUUUUCUCGGUGUGGGCUGAGACCGCGGCGUAUCAGCUUGUUGUUGGGGGAAUGUCCUACCAAGGCGUCGACGGGUAGCCGGCCUGAGAGAGUGUACGGCGACACUGGGACUGAGAGACGGCCCAGACUGCUACGGGUGGCAGAAGUGGGGAAUAUUGACCAAUGGGCGCAAGCCUGAUGCAGAGACGCCGCGGGGGGGAUGACGGCGUUCGGGUUGUAAACUCCUUUCGCUAGGGACGAAGCGUUUUUGUGACGGUACCUGGAGAAGAAGCACCGGCUAACUACGUG